UGGGAGACGUACCUUCUCCUGGUCCCCUCCCGAGACACAGAGCUCUUGGGUGCAGGGAUGGCAGAUCCUUUACUAGUUGGGUGGCAGCCUGGGAGUGUGGGCGAGUCCUGGGCGUGUGAGUGGGAGCUGAGGCUGGGGCCCUACUGUGCCAGAACCGCAUGGGCCAGAGAAUAAGUGUGCCUGAGAAGAAGAGCAAGGUUAGCGCCACUGAGAGACCUCAUCAAUUAUGCAGAUCUGAGAGGAGCGAGUGGGUCUGAGAAAUGGGGAGAAGACAGGACGGAGCCGGGGACUGAGUCACAAAGCAUGAACCAGGAGAGUGGGUCCAGAAUCUGCCCCAUCCUGUGAGGACAGGGAGUUCAUCCGGGGAGUGACCAGGACCACUGGGGUGGGUCAGUGCUGGAAGGAGCCGCACUGGGAGCUGGACAGAUGGACACUGUCCUGGGAACUGAUGGUUACAGGCCCACUGCCCCAUCCACAGUGGUGGGUGACCCUCAAGGUACUGCAACCUCCGCUUCAGGAUCUUUUCCGUACCUGGAUCAAGAGUGGAUGAGAGGAUGAAGGCACUACGGCACCGUGAGUCCAGGGCAGGACGGCCUCCACUUUGCCAUGGCCCAAGACACUGGGGGGCACAUGCUCAACUCCAAGUUUUCCUGCACCUUGGCCCAGGCCCCUACCGAGGAGUCUCAGGCCGUGAAACCACACGAGGCCUUUCCAUGGAGUGUUAUAGGCUUAAAGCCCAUGCCCCUCUAUGACCAGACUUCCCUUCCUGCUUAUCAGAAAUUCUGAGACGACAUGUUUGCUUCCCCUCAAGAUGUCCAGCACUUUCAAUUCACUAAUUAAAACUUCUUACUUU
RNAcentral lists this long non-coding RNA (853 nucleotides) under Equus caballus (horse). RNAcentral's name for it is "lncRNA (ENSECAG00000050583.1)". The record is from RNAcentral. Lineage: Eukaryota; Metazoa; Chordata; Mammalia; Perissodactyla; Equidae.